Molecule: ribosomal RNA, 494 nt
Filed under: uncultured bacterium
Lineage: Bacteria
Description: partial 16S ribosomal RNA
Rfam family: Bacterial small subunit ribosomal RNA
Source: RNAcentral
GACGAACGCUGGCGGCGCGCUUAACACAUGCCAGUCGAACGGAAAGGCCUGCUUUCCCUUGUGGAUUGCGGGUACUCGAGUGGCGAACGGGUGAGUAACACGUGAGUGAUCUGCCCCCAACUUGGGUAUAAGCCUGGGAAACUGGGUCUAAUUCCCGAUAGGACUGCAGGGUGGUGCCUGUGGUGGAAAACGAUUUUCUAGUGGUUGGGGAUGAGCUCGCGGCCUAUCAGCUUGUUGGUGGGGUAAUGGCCUACCAAGGCGGCGACGGGUAGCCGGCCUGAGAGGGGGGACGGCCACAUCGGGACUGAGAUACGGCCCAGACUCCUACGGGAGGCAGCAGUGGGGAAUAUUGCACAAUGGGCGGAAGCCUGAUGCAGCGACGCCGCGUGGGGGAUGACGGCCUUCGGGUUGUAAACUCCUUUCGACCGCGAGGAAGCCACCUGGUUGGAAGGGUGGUGACGGUAGUGGUAGAAGAAGCACCGGCUAACUACGUG